RNAcentral lists this ribosomal RNA (1384 nucleotides) under uncultured bacterium. RNAcentral describes it as "bacterial SSU rRNA". It matches the Rfam family "Bacterial small subunit ribosomal RNA". The record is from RNAcentral.
GAAUUCGCCCUUAGAGUUUGAUCCUGGCUCAGGACGAACGCUGGCGGCGCGCCUAACACAUGCAAGUCGAACGAGAGAUGAGGAGCUUGCUCUUCAAAUCGAGUGGCGAACGGGUGAGUAACGCGUGAGGAACCUGCCUCAAAGAGGGGGACAACAGUUGGAAACGACUGCUAAUACCGCAUAAGCCCACGGCUCGGCAUCGAGCAGAGGGAAAAGGAGCAAUCCGCUUUGAGAUGGCCUCGCGUCCAAUUAGCUAGUUGGUGAGGUAACGGCCCACCAAGGCGACGAUUGGUAGCCGGACUGAGAGGUUGAACGGCCACAUUGGGACUGAGACACGGCCCAGACUCCUACGGGAGGCAGCAGUGGGGGAUAUUGCACAAUGGGGGAAACCCUGAUGCAGCGACGCCGCGUGGAGGAAGAAGGUUUUCGGAUUGUAAACUCCUGUCGUUAGGGACGAUAAUGACGGUACCUAACAAGAAAGCACCGGCUAACUACGUGCCAGCAGCCGCGGUAAAACGUAGGGUGCAAGCGUUGUCCGGAAUUACUGGGUGUAAAGGGAGCGCAGGCGGGAAGACAAGUUGGAAGUGAAAACCAUGGGCUCAACCCAUGAAUUGCUUUCAAAACUGUUUUUCUUGAGUAGUGCAGAGGUAGAUGGAAUUCCCGGUGUAGCGGUGGAAUGCGUAGAUAUCGGGAGGAACACCAGUGGCGAAGGCGGUCUACUGGGCACCAACUGACGCUGAGGCUCGAAAGCAUGGGUAGCAAACAGGAUUAGAUACCCUGGUAGUCCAUGCCGUAAACGAUGAUUACUAGGUGUUGGGGGAUUGACCCCCUCAGUGCCGCAGUUAACACAAUAAGUAAUCCACCUGGGGAGUACGACCGCAAGGUUGAAACUCAAAGGAAUUGACGGGGGCCCGCACAAGCAGUGGAGUAUGUGGUUUAAUUCGAAGCAACGCGAAGAACCUUACCAGGUCUUGACAUCCGAUGCAUAACACAGAGAUGUGUGAAAUCCUUCGGGACAUCGAGACAGGUGGUGCAUGGUUGUCGUCAGCUCGUGUCGUGAGAUGUUGGGUUAAGUCCCGCAACGAGCGCAACCCUUAUUGCCAGUUACUACGUUAAGAGGACUCUGGCGAGACUGCCGUUGACAAAACGGAGGAAGGUGGGGAUGACGUCAAAUCAUCAUGCCCUUUAUGACCUGGGCUACACACGUACUACAAUGGCGAUAAACAAAGAGAAGCAAGACCGCGAGGUGGAGCAAAACUCAAAAACAACGUCUCAGUUCAGAUUGCAGGCUGCAACUCGCCUGCAUGAAGUCGGAAUUGCUAGUAAUCGCGGAUCAGCAUGCCGCGGUGAAUACGUUCCCGGGCCUUGUACACACCGCCCGUCA